GACGAACGCUGGCGGCGUGCCUAAUACAUGCAAGUCGAACGAGAGCGACCGGUGCUUGCACUGGUCAAUCUAGUGGCGAACGGGUGAGUAACACGUGGGUAACCUGCCCAUCAGAGGGGGAUAACAUUCGGAAACGGAUGCUAAAACCGCAUAGGUCUUCGAACCGCAUGGUUUGAAGAGGAAAAGAGGCGCAAGCUUCUGCUGAUGGAUGGACCCGCGGUGCAUUAGCUAGUUGGUGAGGUAACGGCUCACCAAGGCCGUGAUGCAUAGCCGACCUGAGAGGGUGAUCGGCCACAUUGGGACCGAGACACGGCCCAAACUCCUACGGGAGGCAGCAGUAGGGAAUCUUCCGCAAUGGGCGCAAGUCUGACGGAGCAACGCCGCGUGAGUGAAGAAGGUUUUCGGAUCGUAAAACUCUGUUGUUAGAGAAGAACAAGUGCUAGAGUAACUGUUAGCGCCUUGACGGUAUCUAACCAGAAAGCCACGGCUAACUACGUG
This 498-nucleotide ribosomal RNA is filed under the name uncultured bacterium. Its description in RNAcentral is "partial 16S ribosomal RNA". It matches the Rfam family "Bacterial small subunit ribosomal RNA", at positions 28 to 507 of the family's 1533-position model. The record is from RNAcentral.